This 300-nucleotide ribosomal RNA is filed under the name uncultured Marinomonas sp. Its description in RNAcentral is "bacterial SSU rRNA". It matches the Rfam family "Bacterial small subunit ribosomal RNA", at positions 114 to 417 of the family's 1533-position model. Lineage: Bacteria; Pseudomonadati; Pseudomonadota; Gammaproteobacteria; Oceanospirillales; Oceanospirillaceae. The record is from RNAcentral.
CGCGUAGGAAUCUGCCUAGUAGUGGGGGACAACCUGUGGAAACGCAGGCUAAUACCGCAUAAGCCCUGAGGGGGAAAGGAGGGGAUCUUCGGACCUUUCGCUAUUAGAUGAGCCUGCGUGAGAUUAGCUAGUUGGUGAGGUAAAGGCUCACCAAGGCGACGAUCUCUAGCUGGUCUGAGAGGAUGAUCAGCCACACUGGGACUGAGACACGGCCCAGACUCCUACGGGAGGCAGCAGUGGGGAAUAUUGGACAAUGGGCGCAAGCCUGAUCCAGCCAUACCGCGUGUGUGAAGAAGGCCC